This 2930-nucleotide ribosomal RNA is filed under the name Escherichia coli. Its description in RNAcentral is "23S ribosomal RNA". It matches the Rfam family "Bacterial large subunit ribosomal RNA". The record is from RNAcentral. Lineage: Bacteria; Pseudomonadati; Pseudomonadota; Gammaproteobacteria; Enterobacterales; Enterobacteriaceae.
GGGUUGUGAGGUUAAGCGACUAAGCGUACACGGUGGAUGCCCUGGCAGUCAGAGGCGAUGAAGGACGUGCUAAUCUGCGAUAAGCGUCGGUAAGGUGAUAUGAACCGUUAUAACCGGCGAUUUCCGAAUGGGGAAACCCAGUGUGUUUCGACACACUAUCAUUAACUGAAUCCAUAGGUUAAUGAGGCGAACCGGGGGAACUGAAACAUCUAAGUACCCCGAGGAAAAGAAAUCAACCGAGAUUCCCCCAGUAGCGGCGAGCGAACGGGGAGCAGCCCAGAGCCUGAAUCAGUGUGUGUGUUAGUGGAAGCGUCUGGAAAGGCGCGCGAUACAGGGUGACAGCCCCGUACACAAAAAUGCACAUGCUGUGAGCUCGAUGAGUAGGGCGGGACACGUGGUAUCCUGUCUGAAUAUGGGGGGACCAUCCUCCAAGGCUAAAUACUCCUGACUGACCGAUAGUGAACCAGUACCGUGAGGGAAAGGCGAAAAGAACCCCGGCGAGGGGAGUGAAAAAGAACCUGAAACCGUGUACGUACAAGCAGUGGGAGCACGCUUAGGCGUGUGACUGCGUACCUUUUGUAUAAUGGGUCAGCGACUUAUAUUCUGUAGCAAGGUUAACCGAAUAGGGGAGCCGAAGGGAAACCGAGUCUUAACUGGGCGUUAAGUUGCAGGGUAUAGACCCGAAACCCGGUGAUCUAGCCAUGGGCAGGUUGAAGGUUGGGUAACACUAACUGGAGGACCGAACCGACUAAUGUUGAAAAAUUAGCGGAUGACUUGUGGCUGGGGGUGAAAGGCCAAUCAAACCGGGAGAUAGCUGGUUCUCCCCGAAAGCUAUUUAGGUAGCGCCUCGUGAAUUCAUCUCCGGGGGUAGAGCACUGUUUCGGCAAGGGGGUCAUCCCGACUUACCAACCCGAUGCAAACUGCGAAUACCGGAGAAUGUUAUCACGGGAGACACACGGCGGGUGCUAACGUCCGUCGUGAAGAGGGAAACAACCCAGACCGCCAGCUAAGGUCCCAAAGUCAUGGUUAAGUGGGAAACGAUGUGGGAAGGCCCAGACAGCCAGGAUGUUGGCUUAGAAGCAGCCAUCAUUUAAAGAAAGCGUAAUAGCUCACUGGUCGAGUCGGCCUGCGCGGAAGAUGUAACGGGGCUAAACCAUGCACCGAAGCUGCGGCAGCGACGCUUAUGCGUUGUUGGGUAGGGGAGCGUUCUGUAAGCCUGCGAAGGUGUGCUGUGAGGCAUGCUGGAGGUAUCAGAAGUGCGAAUGCUGACAUAAGUAACGAUAAAGCGGGUGAAAAGCCCGCUCGCCGGAAGACCAAGGGUUCCUGUCCAACGUUAAUCGGGGCAGGGUGAGUCGACCCCUAAGGCGAGGCCGAAAGGCGUAGUCGAUGGGAAACAGGUUAAUAUUCCUGUACUUGGUGUUACUGCGAAGGGGGGACGGAGAAGGCUAUGUUGGCCGGGCGACGGUUGUCCCGGUUUAAGCGUGUAGGCUGGUUUUCCAGGCAAAUCCGGAAAAUCAAGGCUGAGGCGUGAUGACGAGGCACUACGGUGCUGAAGUAACAAAUGCCCUGCUUCCAGGAAAAGCCUCUAAGCAUCAGGUAACAUCAAAUCGUACCCCAAACCGACACAGGUGGUCAGGUAGAGAAUACCAAGGCGCUUGAGAGAACUCGGGUGAAGGAACUAGGCAAAAUGGUGCCGUAACUUCGGGAGAAGGCACGCUGAUAUGUAGGUGAAGCGACUUGCUCGUGGAGCUGAAAUCAGUCGAAGAUACCAGCUGGCUGCAACUGUUUAUUAAAAACACAGCACUGUGCAAACACGAAAGUGGACGUAUACGGUGUGACGCCUGCCCGGUGCCGGAAGGUUAAUUGAUGGGGUUAGCGGUAGCGAAGCUCUUGAUCGAAGCCCCGGUAAACGGCGGCCGUAACUAUAACGGUCCUAAGGUAGCGAAAUUCCUUGUCGGGUAAGUUCCGACCUGCACGAAUGGCGUAAUGAUGGCCAGGCUGUCUCCACCCGAGACUCAGUGAAAUUGAACUCGCUGUGAAGAUGCAGUGUACCCGCGGCAAGACGGAAAGACCCCGUGAACCUUUACUAUAGCUUGACACUGAACAUUGAGCCUUGAUGUGUAGGAUAGGUGGGAGGCUUUGAAGUGUGGACGCCAGUCUGCAUGGAGCCGACCUUGAAAUACCACCCUUUAAUGUUUGAUGUUCUAACGUUGGCCCCUAAUCGGGGUUGCGGACAGUGUCUGGUGGGUAGUUUGACUGGGGCGGUCUCCUCCUAAAGAGUAACGGAGGAGCACGAAGGUUGGCUAAUCCUGGUCGGACAUCAGGAGGUUAGUGCAAUGGCAUAAGCCAGCUUGACUGCGAGCGUGACGGCGCGAGCAGGUGCGAAAGCAGGUCAUAGUGAUCCGGUGGUUCUGAAUGGAAGGGCCAUCGCUCAACGGAUAAAAGGUACUCCGGGGAUAACAGGCUGAUACCGCCCAAGAGUUCAUAUCGACGGCGGUGUUUGGCACCUCGAUGUCGGCUCAUCACAUCCUGGGGCUGAAGUAGGUCCCAAGGGUAUGGCUGUUCGCCAUUUAAAGUGGUACGCGAGCUGGGUUUAGAACGUCGUGAGACAGUUCGGUCCCUAUCUGCCGUGGGCGCUGGAGAACUGAGGGGGGCUGCUCCUAGUACGAGAGGACCGGAGUGGACGCAUCACUGGUGUUCGGGUUGUCAUGCCAAUGGCACUGCCCGGUAGCUAAAUGCGGAAGAGAUAAGUGCUGAAAGCAUCUAAGCACGAAACUUGCCCCGAGAUGAGUUCUCCCUGACCCUUUAAGGGUCCUGAAGGAACGUUGAAGAUGACGACGUUGAUAGGCCGGGUGUGUAAGCGCAGCGAUGCGUUGAGCUAACCGGUACUAAUGAACCGUGAGGCUUAACCUUACAACGCCGAAGCUGUU